Molecule: ribosomal RNA, 321 nt
Filed under: uncultured eukaryote
Lineage: Eukaryota
Description: partial 18S ribosomal RNA
Rfam family: Eukaryotic small subunit ribosomal RNA
Source: RNAcentral
CCCUUAGAUGUCCUGGGCCGCACGCGCGCUACACUGACAUGUUCAACAAGCCUCCUAGUUCGACAGGAUUUGGGAAAUCUUGGAACGCAUGUCGUGAUAGGGAUAGAUCAUUGCAAUUAUUGAUCUUGAACGAGGAAUUCCUAGUAAACGCGAGUCAUCAGCUCGCAUUGAUUACGUCCCUGCCCUUUGUACACACCGCCCGUCGCACCUACCGAUUGAAUGUUUCGGUGAAGAUUCCGGAUAGGACUUUUUUGAUUUAUUUCAAUUCUGUCUUAAAAGCUAUCUAAACCUCAACAUUUAGAGGAAGGUGAAGUCGUAACA